Long non-coding RNA from Perca fluviatilis (European perch), 246 nucleotides. RefSeq lists it as uncharacterized. The record is from RefSeq and is a predicted model, not a curated record. The transcript has 4 exons. Lineage: Eukaryota; Metazoa; Chordata; Actinopteri; Perciformes; Percidae.
GGAACUCCAAAAUUGGAAAGGCAUUUUGGAGGUCAGCAGCAACUUUUAAAGCAGCUUCACGGCAGUCUUGAGAAAGGGUUUCAAGACCCAGCAGCAAUAACAUCAGCCUCAAUCAGAAUGUCUUGUAAGCCAGCAUCUCCAAAUCGCUUGCCAAUACAGGACAGGAAAGCCAUACAUGUGUGAAACUCCCCCAUUCUAAUUGUAAUCCCAGAUCCUCAGCCAUGCUGUGAGAUAUCUUCUUGACCU